RNAcentral lists this long non-coding RNA (1564 nucleotides) under Gallus gallus (chicken). The record is from RNAcentral. Lineage: Eukaryota; Metazoa; Chordata; Aves; Galliformes; Phasianidae.
GGCUGAGGAAGGGGCUUACGGGCGGGGGACGCUUAAAGCGGCCGCUUUGUGCCUGAGGCGCGCGGUCCCGCUCGGCUCCUCAGCGUGGAUGAGGAGCAAACCGUCCCUCUCCGCGGUGGUGAAGUUUUUUAAGAGGUAAUCGUUCUGUUAUGAAUGAGAUCGCUGCAUUAUUUCACUGCUUUAAGCAUAACAUUUCGCUUUGCCCUCCGCGGGCGCAAGGUGUUGAAAAUCCGUUAAUUACUGAUAAUAAAUUCCCCCCUAUGAAGACCCAAUCAAAAUGAACAUGCCCGUAUGCGGUCACAGAGCAACACUUACCUGGAGAGCCUGAGGGCAAAGCAGGACUCACACAGAGAAGGGAAUGCACACCAGAAGAGCUUGUAAAAGGCAAAUAUACCUCAAGAGCAAACCAAAGUUAAUUUCAGUUAGAAAUAAAUGUAAAAAGUACAAAAACUGCAGGAAGCGAUAAACGUAGGCAAGAGACGGGUAGGGUUGAAUUCUGUAUGUCAGGGCGCGGGCUGGGCUUGCUGUCCUGGCCUGAACACACUUUGUCCUGCAGUUUUCGGAUAGCAAUUCUGUACAGUUCAUUUUAAAAGCCGUUUCAGGUUGGCACUGAUCCGUCACGGCGAGCAAAAUAGCGGUGAAGACUCGUUAUUUUGGGAAGAAAGGAAAUAUUUCCUGCAGAGGUUCAUUGCAGAAGAGCGAUAUGAGGUAGCACGCGUGAUUUACUGCUUUCACUAUAAGAGCUAAAUGAAUCUCCUCCUUUCCCAGCUCUUGAAUACAGAGUUAUGCUGGCAGAGUGGAUUACAUCUGAUCUAUGUACCAUGACAAGUACUGAAAAUUGUGGGCUUCAUUGCUGUAUUCACCCACUCCUUCCUGAAGAUAGGAAGAAAGUGUCAAUACAGAGAGCAGCCUUUGCUCCAUUCCGUCAGUGUAAGAAAGCACAAAGCUGCUCUGAAGAUCUAAUGAGUAUACAGUCUGACACCAUAGAAACCAAGCUUGAUCCCAGUUCUCCCAGUACCUGCACAAUCUCUUCUGUAUAUCACAUCCAACAUCCACCUGUCUUCUGGCCUUGUGCGUAAUAGGAACAGGCAUCACGCUAUACCAGUUCCUUCCGCUUGUGUACUUCACCCUGCAUUACUCUUACCUAGCAAGAACUGCUGCUGGCUAAUUCUGAAAUACAGCAAGGCACUUUGAUGGAUGUUAAAGACUUUGUGUGUGCGCAGGCAGGAUGCAAAUCCACCCCCUCCUCACAACAGCUUGCCUUUAGGGCAAACACAGACCUCAGCUAUCUCCUAAGGAAAGAUGACCACAGCACAGCAAGUCAUCUGGCCUGAAAAGAACAGCAACGUGGAGGGAACAGAUCAGCUUCCUCAGAGUUUCAGAUUGGUUACAAAAGUCCACAUUUUACUUCAGUGCUUUACAGAACUACUACUUCCUCCCUGGGGAAAGAAAAAAUUGCUAGUCAUGUUGUGUGUGUUAAAGUACGUGAAGUCAAAUCAGCAGUAAUGUCUGUAGAAACACAGCAGAGAAAUAACAGUAAUAAAAAUCCCAAAGCAACAUAAAC